RNAcentral lists this small nucleolar RNA (84 nucleotides) under Pseudomassariella vexata. The record is from RNAcentral. Lineage: Eukaryota; Fungi; Ascomycota; Sordariomycetes; Amphisphaeriales; Pseudomassariaceae.
AUGUGAUGAACACAGAUGACGAGUCUUAUUCGGGUUACCGAUGCAGACAACAUAUUUCUUUAUACCAUUCAUGCCUAACUGAUU